RNAcentral lists this ribosomal RNA (901 nucleotides) under Salmonella enterica subsp. enterica serovar London. Its description in RNAcentral is "partial 23S ribosomal RNA". It matches the Rfam family "Bacterial large subunit ribosomal RNA", at positions 2030 to 2925 of the family's 2925-position model. Lineage: Bacteria; Pseudomonadati; Pseudomonadota; Gammaproteobacteria; Enterobacterales; Enterobacteriaceae. The record is from RNAcentral.
GACUCAGUGAAAUUGAACUCGCUGUGAAGAUGCAGUGUACCCGCGGCAAGACGGAAAGACCCCGUGAACCUUUACUAUAGCUUGACACUGAACAUUGAGCCUUGAUGUGUAGGAUAGGUGGGAGGCUUUGAAGCGUGGACGCCAGUCUGCGUGGAGCCGACCUUGAAAUACCACCCUUUAAUGUUUGAUGUUCUAACGUGGACCCGUAAUCCGGGUUGCGGACAGUGUCUGGUGGGUAGUUUGACUGGGGCGGUCUCCUCCUAAAGAGUAACGGAGGAGCACGAAGGUUGGCUAAUCCUGGUCGGACAUCAGGAGGUUAGUGCAAUGGCAUAAGCCAGCUUGACUGCGAGCGUGACGGCGCGAGCAGGUGCGAAAGCAGGUCAUAGUGAUCCGGUGGUUCUGAAUGGAAGGGCCAUCGCUCAACGGAUAAAAGGUACUCCGGGGAUAACAGGCUGAUACCGCCCAAGAGUUCAUAUCGACGGCGGUGUUUGGCACCUCGAUGUCGGCUCAUCACAUCCUGGGGCUGAAGUAGGUCCCAAGGGUAUGGCUGUUCGCCAUUUAAAGUGGUACGCGAGCUGGGUUUAGAACGUCGUGAGACAGUUCGGUCCCUAUCUGCCGUGGGCGCUGGAGAACUGAGGGGGGCUGCUCCUAGUACGAGAGGACCGGAGUGGACGCAUCACUGGUGUUCGGGUUGUCAUGCCAAUGGCACUGCCCGGUAGCUAAAUGCGGAAGAGAUAAGUGCUGAAAGCAUCUAAGCACGAAACUUGCCCCGAGAUGAGUUCUCCCUGAGACUUAGAGUCUCCUGAAGGAACGUUGAAGACGACGACGUUGAUAGGCCGGGUGUGUAAGCGCAGCGAUGCGUUGAGCUAACCGGUACUAAUGAACCGUGAGGCUUAACCUU